CCCUACGGGAGGCAGCAGUGAGGAAUAUUGGUCAAUGGGCGAGAGCCUGAACCAGCCAAGUCGCGUGAGGGAGUACUGCCCUAUGGGUUGUAAACCUCUUUUGUCGGGGAGCAAAAGCCGGACGUGUCCGGCUGUGAGAGUACCCGAAGAAAAAGCAUCGGCUAACUCCGUGCCAGCAGCCGCGGUAAUACGGAGGAUGCGAGCGUUAUCCGGAUUUAUUGGGUUUAAAGGGUGCGUAGGCGGUCCGGAAAGUCAGCGGUAAAAGCCCGGGGCUCAACCCCGGCGAGCCGUUGAAACUA
RNAcentral lists this ribosomal RNA (299 nucleotides) under uncultured bacterium. Its description in RNAcentral is "partial 16S ribosomal RNA". It matches the Rfam family "Bacterial small subunit ribosomal RNA", at positions 337 to 635 of the family's 1533-position model. The record is from RNAcentral.